GUGAAUGCUGGCGGCGUGGAUAAGUCAUGCAAGUCAAGGGGGCCCGCAAGGGCAACCGGCAGACGAGGUAGUAACACGUAGGUAGAUCCCCCGAAGUCGGGCAUAGCCAGUCGAAAGACUGGGUAAUUCCCGAUAGUCCCGCAAGGGUAAAGGUUUUUCGCUUCGGGAGUUGCCUGCGUAGUAUCAGCUAGUUGGUAAGGUAAUGGCUUACCAAGGCUACGACGCUUAGGGGGGCUGAGAGGCCGAUCCCCACCGAUGGAACUGCGACACGGUCCAUACUCCUACGGGAGGCUGCAGACGAGAAUAUUCCGCAAUGGACGAAAGUCUGACGGAGCGACGCCGCGUGAUGGAUGAAGUGCCUUGGUACGUAAACAUCUUUUAUCGGGGACGAAGUUUAUUGACGGUACCCGAUGAAUAAGGGGCUCCUAACUUUGU
This 435-nucleotide ribosomal RNA is filed under the name uncultured bacterium. Its description in RNAcentral is "bacterial SSU rRNA". It matches the Rfam family "Bacterial small subunit ribosomal RNA", at positions 29 to 506 of the family's 1533-position model. The record is from RNAcentral.